RNAcentral lists this long non-coding RNA (3407 nucleotides) under Pan troglodytes (chimpanzee). RNAcentral describes it as "long non-coding RNA NONPTRT014984". The record is from RNAcentral. Lineage: Eukaryota; Metazoa; Chordata; Mammalia; Primates; Hominidae.
AGGUAGCCAGGUUAUCAACCAGCACAGACUUCACUCAGAGCCUCUAAUCAGCAGGACCCCUUGGAAAAACACACAGCCUGCAAGGGAUAAUCACUGCUUGGAAGAUAUGUUAUGCAAAAUAUGUUCUUUUUGUGCGAAUACCACAAGGCACUGAAUUGGCUCCUAGCAGGAACAACCAUGGAAGCUGAUAGAAUUAUCUCACCAAUUUUUACUGUUUGGGAAUAUUCCUAAAAUUUUAACUUCAUUUCUUGAUUUUAUAUCACUGGAGAGAAGUACUAACAAAUCAGGACUGGGAUAAUAAAAUAUACUGCCGAAAAUAAGAAGAGAACUUCUAUCAGUUUGUUGAAUGGCAUACCAGAGUAUUUGGUGUUUUUCGUUUUGCUACAUAUUUUGCCCAACAGUUGCAGUUUGCCUUCCCAAAGAAAAUUCACAUGCCCAGAAGGCACCAACCUCAACCUUUCUGUGAAUGGUGGAUUAAAGAGUACAAAAACAGGCCGGGUGCAGUGGCUCACGCCUGUAAAGACACAGUGUGCUGAUUGGUGCGUUUUUACAGAGUGCUGAUUGGGGCAUUUACAAUCCUUUACCUAGACACAGAGUGCUGAUUGGUGCAUUUUUAGAGAGUGCUGAUUGGCACAUUUAUAAUCCUUUAGCUAGACACAGAGCACUGAUUGGUGCGUUUUUAGAGAAUGCUGAUUGGUGCAUUUACAAUCCUUUAGCUAGACACAGAGUGCUGAUUGGUGCAUUUUUACAAAGUGCUGAUUGGUGCAUUUAUAAUCCCCUAACUAGACCCAGAGCACCGAUUGGUGUGUUUACAAUCCUCUAGCUAGACAGAAAAGUUCUCCGAGUCCCCACUUGACCCAGGAAGUCCCGCUGGCUUCACCUCUCACUACCACAAAUAAAGAACUAGCAUAAGCCAAACAUUUUAUAUUUAUUAAAACCUCUUUCCCUUCUGGGUUACAAUAUUAGUAUUUUGCUCCUAUUUCUGACCUUCAGAGUAAUAAUUAUAGAUCUGAGCUGCCCGGGGUUUGCCUGUAUCCUCCCUAGAUUAUAACAUUUUGUAUUCCUUUAUAUUUAGAUUUACUUUUUAGGCUAAUCUUAUGACACAUAGUGACACUCAGAAGCUCAGUGUUUACUAUUUGUCUUACAAAGAAAUGAAAGCUCCAUUCAUAUGCAACUGUUCCAACUGUGUCCAGGUAUACUCAUUCAUGUAGUCAAUAAACAGUUAGUGGGAAGCCUCUCUAUUCUAGGCACUGUUGUCUGUACCGGAGACACAGCAGUGAGCAGAUAGGCAGACAUGCCUCCUCUUGAGGAGAUCAUAUGCUAGAGGAGGAGAUGGAUGAUACACAAGAAAAACACAUGAAAUUUAAGUAUGUUAGAUAGUGAAUUCCAUGAAAGGGAUCCCUGAGAUGGGUAGGGGCAUGGGUUACAACUUUACAUAAAGGGGACUGGGGAAACCUCAUCAGGAAGGUGACAUUUAAGUAGAGACCUUAAUUAAGGAGGUCAGAAAGAAGAAACAUCGUAAGCAGAGAGAGUAGCAGAUGCAAAGGUCCUGUGGUGACAGCAUGCUGUGGACACUGUGUGUGCUCUAGAAACAGCAGGGAAGCCGCAUCAGUGGACCAGACAGAGUGAGGAGAGGGAACAGCAAUAAGAGGUGAGAUCAGAGAGUAUAUGGUGGAAAGUGAGUGGUGAAAGAAGGUAGCAGAUCCAGUAAAGCCAUACAGGCUAUAUGGAUCCAGGCUCUUUGUUUGUCUGUUUCCUUAAUGUGUAAAAAACAUUGGAAGUUAUAAGCCAAAGUGCCAUAAUCUAACUUACAUUUUAACAGGCUUACUGUGGCAGUGUUAGAAUAGACUUGAGGUCAAGAUCAGAAGGGAGAUCACACAAAAGAAUAUGACAAUAAUCCCAGUAAGGAAUUAUAAUGGCUUGGAUGGAGGUGGCAGUGAUAGAAAGGUUAAGGAUUUAUCAGAUUCUAAUAAAGACAGUGGAUAACGACAACAUAUUCUGAUGAAGUCCAGAUGCCAUAAUGUAGAUGGAACUUCAUCAUCCAAGUGCCCUGGUCACUCCUUGCCUCUCAUGCCACAUUCCAGCCACCUUGACCUGCCUCCAUUUCCCCUGGCGCCCUGCCCUCUCGCCCUAGCAGAUGCUAACCUGCUGUCACCCGGCAGGACUCAAGCUUGAAUUCACCUCCUCCAAGGAACCUUCAAAGCCCUCAUCACACUAGUUCUAUGUUUACUUGUCUACCCCCCACCACACCAUUACACUUCUAGCUGCUUGAAAUUCUAUUCUUUGACUUGGUCAAGGUUACAUCCUUGUGGUUUAAACAGUGUUUGCCAUAAAAUCGACACUCAUAAAUCUCUGUUUAAUGAAUGAGUGAAAUCCCAUUUUUAUUUCGUGCUUUUAAAUUUACUUAAUUGCUCUUUCCUCAUUUGUAAAAUUGGGUAAUAACUUCCUUACUAAUUUUGUUGAUGUGAAGAUGUAAGUAUCCAAGAUAGAUACAGGCAGAGAAGAGGCACACAGACAUUUCUAUAGCUUAACUCAUGGAUUUUCAGUUUAUACAACUAAGGAAGGCUGUCCUAUUUUGGCUGACUUUCUCUGCCUUUUGAAAAAAAUGUCUCCACUUUUUAUUUAAAGUGCUACUUUACAUUUUUGAAUGCUUACUUUACCUUUUAAAAUAUUAGCCGAAGGAUAGGGAAAAGACGUUGGAUUCAGUGAGAAACAAACCAAACUUUUGCAAGAGCUUUGCUUAUUCCAACAAAAACAGUACUGUGAAUCCCCCCAAAGGGAGAGUGGGUGCUGACCUAAUCUUGUUUGCUUUCCUAUUCAGUAUUCUUCCCUACCAGCCUCCCUGGGGGCCUUAAAAGGAAUUACCAAACUGCACAAAGAACUGCCUUGAUGGUCAUGCUUACGUGGUGUUUCUGGUCUAAUGGACGAGUGAUGUUGAAAUAACAGAAAAGUGCAUUUUUUCAUUUUUAUUUUGAUAGCUUAACAUUUUUAGGAAGUCUGUCUUCCUCUCCAAAGAAGUAUCACAUAGAAACAGCAAAUUGAUUGCUUAGUAGGAAAAAAAAUACCAUCAUACUCCCCGGGAGAAACUGAAAUGAUCAUUAAUUUAAGUAAUUGUAGCCUCUAUUUGUUGGUAUUUACUAUAUAGGCUAAACAGGCACUGGGAUGAGUGAAUAUUCUCAUUUACCACCCACUGCCCUAGAAGUCUGUGAAAUGUAUACUGGUAUUAUCACCAUUUUGCAUGUAUGGAAUAUGAAGCUUAAAGUGAUAUAGUAGUAACUUGCCUAAGGUUACAUAGCCUUCUAAGCGGCAGAACCUAUAGACUAGUGACUCCAUGAUACACAUUUCACUCAAGAAGUGCCUUUUCAUUUGUAUCUUCCCAUUUUAUGAAUCUUAUAUCAAGGCUUUCC